This 1032-nucleotide long non-coding RNA is filed under the name Capsicum annuum. Its description in RNAcentral is "long non-coding RNA (CANN_LNC013133)". The record is from RNAcentral. Lineage: Eukaryota; Viridiplantae; Streptophyta; Magnoliopsida; Solanales; Solanaceae.
UCAAAUCACGUAUUUCAAUACAACACAACUCUAUUUUUUAAUUUUUUUAACAACAUACAAAAUUCAUCUCUUCCAAUAUUCAUUAACAUUAAUUUCACUUCUUAAAUCAUUUUUAUUCGCAGUAAAAUUCACAUACCGUUAUGACAACAUAUUUUAAUAUAAUAUUCAUACACAUAUUUUCAACACAUAUUUCCAUUUUCACUAUCACAUACUUCAUUUUUCUAAGAAUUCACACACACAUACACUGUAAACUCAUAUACGAUUCUCCCUCCAUUUACGAUAAUUUACAAAAUAUCAACACCAACGUGAAAAAAUAGACAGUUUAUUUUCAGAAUCUAAUUUUAGUUUGGAUUUGAAUUACAGUGGUCAGAAUUGACAUUGAGUUGCAGAUAGAUCUGGUUUGCCAUUGAUCGAUAAUGGAGGAGGGACGACGAUGAUGGCAGAUCUGGCUGUCGUCGGGAAACGAGGAAAAGGAACGACGCGGUGGCGAGGGUGCACCUGAGUCACCGGAAAAGGAAAAGGGACAGUGACAUAUCACCGGCGUUGGUGGCGCAGAUUCGAUGAGGAAUCGGCCGGAGAGAGAAGCGGUGACUUCGUUGGUGGUAGGGAAAUAGGAAAGAGGGAGGCGCUUGUGUGGGAGGAGGAUGGCGACGAUGGCGAUGGGACGAUGAUUCCGACAAAAUAUUUUACCGGAAAGAUCCGUUUCCCUUUUUCCGUUCACUCCCUUCCAUCGUCUCUCUCUCACAAUCUCUCUAUAUCUCUUUGUUAUGGUGUAUAUUGUUGUUCUAUUGUAUGAAAAUCUCUAUGAGAGUAUUUGUGAAGUGUGUGCAAGAAACUGUGUAUAGAUAAAAAAUAAAUUAAUAUAUCUGUGUGUGAAUAUAGGUAUCUGUGAACAUAAAUUGUUAUAUUUAUUUAUCCUUUCUGCUUUUCUAUCCGUUUCAAAUUUUAACCAAACAAUGUUACAUACAAAAAAUAACAUUCAAUACAUAAUAACAUAUGAAUUCAUAUAAUAAAUUAACAUCUAUUAAAUAA